Long non-coding RNA from Candoia aspera, 274 nucleotides. RefSeq lists it as uncharacterized. The record is from RefSeq and is a predicted model, not a curated record. Lineage: Eukaryota; Metazoa; Chordata; Lepidosauria; Squamata; Candoiidae. The transcript is spliced from 3 exons.
GGUUCCUUCCUCUUGCCGGCAGUGAGAAACGCCUCUAACAACUGCAGCCGGAGCAGCUCCCCCAGCAGCUGCGGCAGGAGCAUCAGAGAGAAGAGAUUCCAUCUUCGGAAUUCAGGCUUCUCUGCUUCCCCCAUGCCCCUUAAACUCAUUUCCUUUAUGAAUCAAAGGAAUGCUGUUAAGUAAUAUAUUUAGACAAUAAAAGGAGUGAAGCAACUAUUAUCUCAGGGAGAAGGCUGGCUGCACAGGUCUGUGAGGAAAUACAAAGAGAUAUCGA